CCUCGAGUGGUCGGGACGAUUAUUGGGCCUAAAGCACCCGUAGCCGGUUUCGUAAGUCCUCUGUUAAAUCCAGUCGCUCAACGGCUGGCCUGCAGAGGAUACUGCGAGACUAGGAGGCGGGAGAGGCGGACGGUACUCCGCGUGUAGGGGUAAAAUCCUUUGAUCCGCGGAAGACCACCAGUGGCGAAGGCGGUCCGCCAGAACGCGCUCGACGGUGAGGGGUGAAAGCUGGGGGAGCGAACCGGAUUAGAUACCCGGGUAGUCCCAGCCGUAAACGAUGCGAGCUAGAUGAUUCGAUCGCAGUUCGCGAUCGAAGUGUCGCAGGGAAGCCGUUAAGCUCGCCGCCUGGGGAGUACGGUCGCAAGGCUGAAUUGCAGGAAGAGAGAUUUUUCUGCACAGUUCACUUAAAG
This 410-nucleotide ribosomal RNA is filed under the name uncultured archaeon. Its description in RNAcentral is "bacterial SSU rRNA". It matches the Rfam family "Archaeal small subunit ribosomal RNA", at positions 482 to 861 of the family's 1478-position model. The record is from RNAcentral.